Zalophus californianus (California sea lion) is the source of this 593-nucleotide long non-coding RNA. RefSeq lists it as uncharacterized. The transcript is spliced from 4 exons. The record is from RefSeq and is a predicted model, not a curated record. Lineage: Eukaryota; Metazoa; Chordata; Mammalia; Carnivora; Otariidae.
CAGCAACUCUCUGAACAGAAAAGCAACCACUUUCUGAAAGAACAAAGCCACCAUGUUGUGAGAAACCCAAGCCCCAUGGGAGAGGCCAGAGCACCUGACAAUCUACAUCAACUGUCAGUCAUUUCCAUGGAAGGAAAUGAAUUGUCAUCUAGGCUGAUACCCUUUUCAGACUUCUGCAUCCUGUAAUUGUUUCUUGAGAGAAGGAAGAGUUGAAACUCUCAUGUUCAGAAUGCCCAUGGGAACACACUGCAGAUGUGAACUUCAACUGCUAGAUGUGUCAGAGCUGAAAAUGCCAUAAGCCACAAGCGGAAAUCCUUAAACUUUGAAAAAAAAGUAUGAGAGUUAUUUUGGAACAUGGGACAGUGCCUGAGUGAGGCAAGUUGCUGGUAUUAAGAUUGAUGUCUGAAAAAAAGCAAAAGCAGAGAGAAGUUCCAAAAAAAGGAAUGGGAGGACUUUGAAAGCAAACUUCAUCUAUUUGACAAUUUUAAUUAAAACUGAAUUUGUGGGGCACCUGGGUGGCUCAGUUGUUAAGCGUCUGCCUUUGGCUCAGGUCAUGAUCCCAGGGUCCUGGGAUUGAGCCCUGCAUCGAGCCC